This 1339-nucleotide ribosomal RNA is filed under the name Niallia circulans. RNAcentral's name for it is "bacterial SSU rRNA". It matches the Rfam family "Bacterial small subunit ribosomal RNA", at positions 129 to 1439 of the family's 1533-position model. Lineage: Bacteria; Bacillati; Bacillota; Bacilli; Caryophanales; Bacillaceae. The record is from RNAcentral.
CCUGUAAGACUGGGAUAACUUCGGUAAACCGGAGCUAAUACCGGAUAAUUCUUUCCCUCUCAUGAUGAAAAGCUGAAAGACGGCAUCUCGCUGUCACUUACAGAUGGGCCCGCGGCGCUUUAGCUAGUUGGUGAGGUAACGGCUCACCAAGGCAACGAUGCGUAGCCGACCUGAGAGGCUGAUCGGCCACACUGGGACUGAGACCCGCCUCUUUCUCCUUGGGGGAGGCAGCAGUAGGGAAUCUUCCGCAAUGGACGAAAGUCUGAGGGAGCACCCCGGCGUGAUUGAUGAAGGUUUUCGGAUCGAAAAGCUCUGUUGUUAGGGAAGAACAAGGUACAAGAGUACCUGCUUGUACCUUGACGGUACCUAACCAGAAAGCCACGGCUAACUUACGUGCCAGCGGCCGCGGUAUUACGUAGGUGGCAAGCGUUGUCCGAAAUUUAUUGGGCGUAAAGCGGGCGCAGGGGGCCCUUUUAAGUCUGAUGUGAAAGCCCCCGCUUCACCCGGGGAAGGGUCAUUGAAAACUGGGGGGACUUGGAGUGCAGAAGAGAAGAGUGGAAUUCCACGUGUAGCGGUGAAAUGCGUAAGAGAUGUGGAGARACACCAGUGGCAGAGCGCGACUCUUUUGGUCUGUAACUGACGCUGAGGCGCGAAAGCGUGGGGRGCAAACAGGAUUAGAUACCCCUGUAGUCCACGCCGUAAACGAUGAGUGCUAAGUGUUAGAGGGUUCCGCCCUUUUAGUGGUGCCACCAAACGAUUAAACCCUCCCCCCGGGGAGUUCCGGCCGCCAGGCUGAAACUCAAAAGAAAAUUACCGGGGGCCGCCCAAGCCGUGGAGCAUUUGGUUUUAUUUGGAGCAACGCGAAGAACCUUUCCCAGUCUUGACCUCCUUUGACACUUCCAGAGAUUGGACCGUUCCCCUCGGGGGACAGAGUGACAGGUGGUGCAUGGUUGUCGUCAGCUCGUGUCCUGAGAUGUUGGGUUAAAUCCCGCAACGAGCGCCACCCUUGAUUUUAGUUGCCAGCCUUAAGUUGGGCCCUCUAAGGUGACUGCCGGUGACAAACCGGAGGAAGGUGGGGAUGGCGUCAAAUCAUCAUGCCCCUUAUGACCUGGGCUACACCCCUGCUUCAAUGGAUGGUACAAAGGGCAGCAAAACCGCGAGGUCGAGCAAAUUCCAUAAAACCAUUCUCAGUUCGGAUUGUAGGCUGCAACUUGCCUACCUGAAGCCGGAAUCGCUUGUAAUCGCGGAUCAACAUGCCGCGGGGAAUUCGUUUCCGGGCCUUGUUCACCCCGCCCCUCACACCCCGAGAGUUUGUUUAUAUCGAAGUCAGUAGAGAAAA